GACGUAGGAGGCGAGCGUUAUCCGGAUUCACUGGGCGUAAAGCGCAUGUAGGCGGUUCGAUACGUCCGGUGUUAAAGCCCCUGGCUCAACUGGGGGAGGUCAUUGGAGACUAUAGGACUGGAGGGCAACAGAGGCACGUGGAACUCCCGGUGUAGCGGUGGAAUGCGUAGAGAUCGGGAAGAACACCAGUGGCGAAGGCGACGUGCUGGGUUGCAACUGACGCUGAGAUGCGAAAGUGUGGGGAGCAAACGGG
This 253-nucleotide ribosomal RNA is filed under the name uncultured bacterium. RNAcentral describes it as "partial 16S ribosomal RNA". It matches the Rfam family "Bacterial small subunit ribosomal RNA", at positions 524 to 776 of the family's 1533-position model. The record is from RNAcentral.